GACGAACGCUGGCGGCGUGCCUAAUACAUGCAAGUCGAACGAAGCUGUUUUAACUGGUGCUUGCACCGACUUAAACAACUGAGUGGCGAACGGGUGAGUAACACGUGGGUAACCUGCCCCAAAGCGGGGGAUAACAUUUGGAAACAGAUGCUAAUACCGCAUAACCACAGAAACCACAUGGUUUCUGUGUCAAAGAUGGUUUCGGCUAUCACUUUGGGAUGGACCCGCGGCGUAUUAGCUAGUUGGUAAGGUAAUGGCUUACCAAGGCAAUGAUACGUAGCCGAACUGAGAGGUUGAUCGGCCACAUUGGGACUGAGACACGGCCCAAACUCCUACGGGAGGCAGCAGUAGGGAAUCUUCCACAAUGGACGAAAGUCUGAUGGAGCAACGCCGCGUGAGUGAAGAAGGUUUUCGGAUCGUAAAACUCUGUUGUCAGAGAAGAACGUGUGCGAGAGUAACUGCUCGUGCAGUGACGGUAUCUGGCCAGAAAGCCACGGCUAACUAC
This 505-nucleotide ribosomal RNA is filed under the name uncultured bacterium. RNAcentral describes it as "bacterial SSU rRNA". It matches the Rfam family "Bacterial small subunit ribosomal RNA", at positions 28 to 504 of the family's 1533-position model. The record is from RNAcentral.